Long non-coding RNA from Erigeron canadensis, 2050 nucleotides. RefSeq lists it as uncharacterized. The record is from RefSeq and is a predicted model, not a curated record. The transcript has 4 exons. Lineage: Eukaryota; Viridiplantae; Streptophyta; Magnoliopsida; Asterales; Asteraceae.
CUCUGGUGGGGGGUAAGCCAUGGAGGAUGUUUCUAGGAGGUAAGAAUUAUCAUCAUAAAGCGACAUAAAACGAGAGAUAUCACCACCAAUGAUCUGCUUCCAUGACUUGUAGUAAUCUAAAGGCGGCUCCGUUUUGAUUGCUUCUGAAUCAUUAUUAUUCUCAUCAUACACAAGGCAAAUCCCACACUCCUUUACUUCUAUACUACAGAAGUUGUCUACUUUUAUAGAAACACAGAUUACAUCACCUUCCUCCAACUCAUUAUUCUGAAACAUCAAAUGAUUAAUCACAGUGAUAUCUCCCUUCCAAUGAUUUAUAUAUGUCCAUGUGAGAUUUUUGGUCAUGUUGUUGAUUUUAGUUGCUGAGGGGCUGGCCAUAAGAAAAUGGUAGGAAUCAAUUUCAGAAAUUGUCUGCACAAAGCACACAUUUAAUCCUCGGAUCCUAAAAUUGUUGGGAGAUGGAGGCACAUCAAAGUAUAUAAUGGGCCCAUUGAUUUUAUGAGUGAACCAGUCUGGAACUUUAUCAUCCCAUGAAAAUGUGCUGAAUAUACCAUACUCAUACAACAUUAUCAUUGGCGGAGGGAAGGUAUAGUUGGCAACAAACUUCUGCUUUUCCAGAAAACCUAUAUCAUACCAGCCCAACCUAUCCGUAAGAAUUUUUUGGGUAGCUACAACCUUAAAAAUUCCUUGGGCUUCCACCAGGUCAUAACAAAAAAGAGUAUAAAUAUAUGGUGGUCUGGAAUGUGCUGAAUGAAGUGUAAUUUUUUCCAGGGACUCACAUCCACACACAUCCAAGACUGUUAUAGUAUUUGGAAGUUUUAGGACUGAUUUGAGGUUGUUACAGUCCCGCGUAGUAAGUUUGUCAAUCUUAACAAGACUUCUAACACAAUCAGGAAGUGAAUCUAUUGGAUUGUUACUUAUGUCCAAUGUCACCAGCGAUGAUAAGCUGCUGAAAUCAAUGGGAAAAGACUUGUUAGAUAGAUCAUUAUUUGAAAGCGUUAGGUUCACAAUGGAAUGUGGCAACAACCAAGAGGAUUUUGGACUUUGUGCCUGUUCAUGUUUCCGGGGAGCUUUUCUAGCAUUGCACAAUAGCUGAGGUCAAGUAAAAGAAGUCCUUGAAGCUCUCCAAUUGAUGCACAAAUCUCAACCAAUCUACUACAUUUUGCCAGUAUCAGCCGCUCGAGAUUAGGAAGUCCUGAGAAAUUUACUGUUCUAAGCUUCACAGAACUACUUAGAUCAAGAAACUUCAACAAGAUUGGGAGUCUGUCUUUGCCACUGCAAAUAAUGGACAUUAACUCAAGGUUUAUGAAACUUGACAAAUGGUUAUGUAUUUAUCUUGACUUUGUAAAGCUGGAGCAAAUGAACCUCAUGAACAAGUACUAUACAGGCCUGAAAUCGAUACAAGGGAUUAAGAUGAAACGGUAAUUGUAGUAGAUUACUAAAUGCCAAGUGGUUCUUACCAUCCUGUAAUAUCUUUUCCUUUCAAAUUAGCAACUUUUGUAAGUGCCUCUUUCCAUAACUUGAACUUAUGAGUCCUGUGCAUUUUCUUCUCCAAAUCCGUUUCUUCUUGUAUGUCCAUCUCAUGAUUUCUAAAUGCAUCUUCAAAACUGCCAUGUUGUUUCCGGACAUGGGAUGGGUCAACGUGAUAGAAUAUAGGCAAAACAAUCAUUCCCGAGUUUGUAUGCUCCUCGAGAAUCAUUAUCAAUUCAUCAAGGCACCAUGUAGAAGAUGCGUAAUUCUUUGACAACACAAUGAUUGAUGCCCGGGACUGCUUGAUUGCUCUUUCCAAAUCUGGUUUCAGAUCCUCCCCAGUUUCAAUUCCUUCAUCAUCUAGGAAAGUAUCGAUACCUGCUUGUACCAAAGCCUUGUGAAGAUGAUCAGUGAAACUAAGACGAGUAUCUUUGCCCCUGAAGCUCAAGAAGACUUGGUAGCUAUAGUCAGUAAUUGUCUUAGAUGAUGCUUGUUCUUCGUGUAAUUGUUUUAUAACACCCAUCAUGGAACAACAAAUUGGGAUUUCAUAAUGAUGAAUGGUAACUCAUGAAUGGUAACUCUA